This 277-nucleotide unclassified non-coding RNA is filed under the name Glomus sp. RNAcentral's name for it is "partial contains 5.8S ribosomal RNA and internal transcribed spacer 2". The stretch from base 1 to 65 matches the Rfam family "5.8S ribosomal RNA", at positions 84 to 154 of the family's 154-position model. Lineage: Eukaryota; Fungi; Glomeromycota; Glomeromycetes; Glomerales; Glomeraceae. The record is from RNAcentral.
GUGAAUCAUCGAAUUUUUGAGCGCAAAUUGCACUCUCCUCGGAGAGUAUGCCUGUUUGAGGGUCAGCCUAUAAAAAAUCGACGUCGUCGCUGUUUCGCGGUGGCGUUCGUCGGAAAUUGGGUCAUCUUAAAUCCUUUUGAUUUAAGCGACUUAAAAUUUUCUUUUUUUUCCAUGAACAUUGCUAAUAUCAUUUUCUUUACACGUUUAAGUUAUCGAUUUUUACUAUACUUGACCAUGAUAUCGUAUCUCGUCCAGAAUCUUUCAUUAACGUCCCUUG